This 253-nucleotide ribosomal RNA is filed under the name uncultured bacterium. RNAcentral's name for it is "partial 16S ribosomal RNA". It matches the Rfam family "Bacterial small subunit ribosomal RNA", at positions 524 to 776 of the family's 1533-position model. The record is from RNAcentral.
UACGUAGGGGGCAAGCGUUGUCCGGAAUCAUUGGGCGUAAAGCGCGUGUAGGCGGCCAGAAAAGUCCGCUGUGAAAACUCGAGGCUCAACUUCGAGCUGUCGGUGGAAACUUUCUGGCUAGAGUCCGGAAGAGGGGAAUGGAAUUCCUGGUGUAGCGGUGAAAUGCGCAGAUAUCAGGAAGAACACCCGUGGCGAAGGCGGUUCUCUGGGACGGUACUGACGCUGAGACGCGAAAGCGUGGGGAGCGAACAGG